UCAGGUCAGAGGACCUGAAUAGACUGCGGACAGCACCAGGAUGAACCAAUAGAUGAGAGACAGCCCCAAAGGUCAAAUGGAGACGAGGGAACAGGACCAUGACAAGGACGGAGAUGAGAAAAGUCGCUGCACAGAAAAAAUAGUUCAUUUGCCUGACUUGCCAAAGAAUGAGAAUACAAAUGAGCAGCAGUCCAAAGAUGAAGAGACCGAGCUGAUUAAGUGGAAGUCCAAACAAGUUGCAGAAGAAGAAGCAGUUGAGGAAAUGAGUUGAAGGAGUUCAGCAUGUAGAAAAGCAGUUGACAGAGGACUUGGACUCUCCACUUAAAAGAGGCUGGAGGCCAAUUGGCAGAGAAGACUUGAGGGAGAUUUUCACAAUGAGUCCUUAAAUACAAAGUCUUUGAAAUGAG
Long non-coding RNA from Scomber scombrus (Atlantic mackerel), 407 nucleotides. RefSeq lists it as uncharacterized. Lineage: Eukaryota; Metazoa; Chordata; Actinopteri; Scombriformes; Scombridae. The transcript is spliced from 3 exons. The record is from RefSeq and is a predicted model, not a curated record.